RNAcentral lists this ribosomal RNA (253 nucleotides) under uncultured bacterium. Its description in RNAcentral is "partial 16S ribosomal RNA". It matches the Rfam family "Bacterial small subunit ribosomal RNA", at positions 524 to 776 of the family's 1533-position model. The record is from RNAcentral.
UACGUAGGUGGCAAGCGUUGUCCGGAUUUACUGGGUGUAAAGGGCGUGCAGCCGGAGAGACAAGUCAGAUGUGAAAUCCACGGGCUCAACCCGUGAACUGCAUUUGAAACUGUUUCCCUUGAGUGUCGGAGAGGUAAUCGGAAUUCCUUGUGUAGCGGUGAAAUGCGUAGAUAUAAGGAAGAACACCAGUGGCGAAGGCGGAUUACUGGACGAUAACUGACGGUGAGGCGCGAAAGCGUGGGGAGCAGACAGG